This 514-nucleotide long non-coding RNA is filed under the name Sorghum bicolor (sorghum). RNAcentral describes it as "long non-coding RNA (SBIC_LNC018034)". Lineage: Eukaryota; Viridiplantae; Streptophyta; Magnoliopsida; Poales; Poaceae. The record is from RNAcentral.
CAGUAGCGAAAUUCAAAAAUUUUUCACAUCUAAACAAGGCCUUACUCUAAUAUUUUUGUGCUCUACAGGAUAUGUCAAAAAUAUGCCUUAGAAAGAUAAUUAUACGUGCACCAUACAAAUCGGUGCAAGAAGGACCUGAAUAGUCAUUGUUAUAAAAAAAAUUAAAUGCUGAAAUAAAGUAUAUCACUGUCUAGAGUUUAUCGAGAUAAUUAAAAUACAUAUAUUACUUAUCUAAUUUAAAGCUCGUAUGAAGAAGUUCUUAAAUUCUGAAAUUAAAAAUGCAUUGCUGACACCAAAGCCAAGGUACACGUUGCAACGAAAAAAAAAGUAGGCACAUGUUUGCAUGCAAUGUCCAAGCGUCGUGAGUGGGCGUUGUCAAGCACAGCCCAACAGGACCCACUUGCGGCAGCACACUGACACUGCACAAACGGUCAGGCGCAGAUUCACUAGGCCCUGUUUAGUUCCCACCUAAAAUUUUUUGUCCAUCCUAUCGAAUCUUUAGACACAUGCAUGG